UGGAAAUGCUCUGGAUUUGUUCCUACAAAGACGCGCUGAAAGCAUUAAGAGAUCCAGGACCACCGGGACUUCGUCAGAGUUCGACAAAAACAGCAGAGGUAAAAAUACUAUCCGCGCUUUGUCAUUGUGUAGAGUUGUUGAUUUGUGAUCGAUGUCUUACACUGUCAUGGUCAUUCUGCGCUUUUUAUUAUUGCAGCCACGAGUCAGGUCCCUCUAUCAACUAUUGAUCAGAGUGCAUCAUAUCAAUAUAAGUUGGACAUACAUAUUGAGCAAUUAAGGACUAGCAUGUCUGCCAUAGGCUUUUUACAGAUUACGUUUCUUUCUAGAGUCACUUCACUGUGUCCAAUGUUGUCUUUUAAAUGUUAUUCAAGUACGUGAUUGCUGAUCUUUCAUUUGUCUUGCAGCAAUCAGGCGUGCCCGGUUGUCCAAUUUUGAUCAAAAUCCAAGCCCUGGCUCUGUGUUGGAUUCUACCG
RNAcentral lists this long non-coding RNA (473 nucleotides) under Daucus carota (carrot). Its description in RNAcentral is "long non-coding RNA (DCAR_LNC006767)". Lineage: Eukaryota; Viridiplantae; Streptophyta; Magnoliopsida; Apiales; Apiaceae. The record is from RNAcentral.